Molecule: long non-coding RNA, 908 nt
Filed under: Marmota monax (woodchuck)
Lineage: Eukaryota; Metazoa; Chordata; Mammalia; Rodentia; Sciuridae
Source: RNAcentral
AUGUUUGAUAUUUUGGACCAGAUUAUUCUUUAUUUGGUGUGAGGAGGGAUGUUCUUAUUAUUGUAUAACAGAUCACUGACCUCUCUGCACUGGUUUCCAGAAGUAUCCCUUCAAAAUUGUGACAACCAAAAAUCUCCAAACAUUGCCAAAUAUCUAUCACCUGGGGCAGGGAAAAAUAGCCCACUGGAAAUGGAGCUGCUAGAAGAAAAAACAAUGUUCAAUGGUAGAAUGCAUAUCUAGCAUACAUAAAGCCCUAGGUUCAAUCUCCAGCAGAAACAGAGGAAGGGAAGGAGGGAAAAAGGGAGGGAGAAAAGAAAAAAUGUCCAUUCAUAACAUUUACUCCUACAAAGCAUCAAAAGAAGAGAACCUGAGAGUUAGCAGCCCUGCAAGAUUAUGGUCAUUCCACAUCCAGCCAUACAUAUCAAUUCUCUUGAUAUUGAUAUUCUUCUAGAGAAAGUAAUCUGACAAAAGGUGGUCAUGGUUCCUCCUUCGCCUUGCUGAGGAAUCUUUCUCAAUAAGUGGAUUUCACUUACCUGCCUCUUUGUAUUCUGUUGACUUUAGAAAGAAGUGAGGUCAUAUUUGAUGUUGACUGGAAACCCAGACCAACCUGUGGAAAUACAAGGUCUUAACAAGGAUAGUGAAGCUGUGAUUGCCCACUUACUUGGUUGGUGGGCUGUAAGGAACAGGGAUGGCACAUAUUGCCAUUGAGAAAGAAAAAUGGUGCACAGCACCCAUGGAAAGGAACUUGAUAAUCACUAACAAAAUUACCCAUCAUUUUGCCUUUUUAAAAUUUUUUUUAGUUGCAGUUGGACACAAUACCUUUAUUUUAUUUUUAUGUGGUGCUGAGGAUCGAACCCAGGGCCUCGCCUGCGCUAGGCAAGCGCUUUACCACUGAGACACAACUCCAG